ACAGACGCCAGACCCCAGACCCCAGCACAGUUCAGUUCGCGAUCUCUGAGACACUUUCCCUAAUGCUGCUGCCGACGAGAGGGUGGCCAGACUUCCCCCCACCACGUCCCCUCAUCAUGAAAGGGAUCAAAGCCAGACGCAUACAAAAUUCUACAAGUUCUGCCCGCAAAAGCAGAGAAGCCAACAGAAGCAGAGGCAGCAACAGCAGCAGAGACCAACUACCCCUUGCCAAAAAAAAAUAAAAAUAAUAAAAUAAAAUAAAAUAAAAGCGGCA
Molecule: long non-coding RNA, 274 nt
Organism: Drosophila ananassae
Lineage: Eukaryota; Metazoa; Arthropoda; Insecta; Diptera; Drosophilidae
Exons: 2
Source: RefSeq, a predicted model, not a curated record